AGUGAACGCUGGCGGUAGGCCUAACACAUGCAAGUCGAACGGCAGCACAGUAAGAGCUUGCUCUUACGGGUGGCGAGUGGCGGACGGGUGAGGAAUACAUCGGAAUCUACUUUUUCGUGGGGGAUAACGUAGGGAAACUUACGCUAAUACCGCAUACGACCUACGGGUGAAAGCAGGGGAUCUUCGGACCUUGCGCGAUUGAAUGAGCCGAUGUCGGAUUAGCUAGUUGGCGGGGUAAAGGCCCACCAAGGCGACGAUCCGUAGCUGGUCUGAGAGGAUGAUCAGCCACACUGGAACUGAGACACGGUCCAGACUACUACGGGAGGCAGCAGUGGGGAAUAUUGAACAAUGGGAUCAAGCCUGAUCCAGCCACACCGCGUGGGUGAAGCAGGCCUUCGGGUUGUAAAGCCCUUUUGUUGGGAAAGAAAAGCAGCAGGUUAAUACCCCGCUGUUCUGACGGUACCAAAAGAAUAAGCACAGGCUAACUUCGUG
Molecule: ribosomal RNA, 492 nt
Filed under: uncultured bacterium
Lineage: Bacteria
Description: partial 16S ribosomal RNA
Rfam family: Bacterial small subunit ribosomal RNA
Source: RNAcentral